GAUUGUAAUGGUUAUUGAUAACGAAUAAAAGUUACGCUAGGGAUAACAGGGUAAUAUAGCGAAAGAGUAGAUAUUGUAAGCUAUGUUUGCCACCUCGAUGUCGACUCUACCUAUCCUCUUGGUUGUAACUGCUAAGAAGGGUUUGACUGUUCGUCAAUUAAAAAGUAACGUGAGUUUGGUUAAAUAUGAUGUAACUCAGUAUGGUUCUUAUCUACUAUUGGUAAUAUUAUCAACUUAAGUCUUGUUCUUAGUACGCAAGGAUCAGAAUGAACUAAUCCAUGGUGCAUCUAUUGAUUAUAUUAAUUCUUCUGCCCUACUAAUUAUAUUAUAUAGGGAAUCUAAGAAGAAUCUAUAUUAGUUUAUAUUUUAUAAUAUAAUCACAGUAGAUAAGCUAAAUUAGUAAAUAAUAAGUAUUGAAAGCAUAUGAAAUACAAAGUAGUCUUAAG
RNAcentral lists this ribosomal RNA (446 nucleotides) under Brenneria bubanii. RNAcentral describes it as "partial 23S ribosomal RNA". It matches the Rfam family "Bacterial large subunit ribosomal RNA", at positions 2431 to 2802 of the family's 2925-position model. The record is from RNAcentral. Lineage: Bacteria; Pseudomonadati; Pseudomonadota; Gammaproteobacteria; Enterobacterales; Pectobacteriaceae.